CUACAUACACCAUAAUAAUAUAAUAAAUACUCAUCUUUAAUCAAAAGCAUCAUAUCCCUGAGGUCUAGUCUAUGAGAUAUACAUCAUGACCACAAAAGCCUCCACAGUGAAUAAGAAGAUACUCAAAUCUGUUCUUUAUGAAAGAGUUUUGGACCGAUAGGAAUGGGAGAAAAUCAUCAGUGACUAUCUAUAAAAGAAACAGAAGUCAAGAUUUAGCAAACACUGCUCAAUAUCUUGAGAAAGUACUUAUCAAAGAUACAAUGCAACUAGCAAGUAGACGAACAGAAAUGACAGGAAAAUGUCUCCAGGGCAGCCAACUUAAUCCCCAUUCAAGUAAAGACACUUCAUAAAGAUACGCUUCAUAUUCUUGAUGGGACAGUCUUUCUUGACAAUAUCAGAAAAUUACUGCGAAGCACUGUACUUUCAAAUCUUUCUGUUAAAGUCGAUAAUUACAAAGCACAGAGUUGAAGGCUCUAUGAGGAUGGAUGCCUUCCACCUAGUGAUUGGACACCUGCUGUGUUCUAGGCCCCAGAGGAAUGAAUACACAGGACAGCGCUGUCUCUGACCACAAAAGGCUAAAUAUCAAGUGUGACCCGACAUGAGCAGACCACCAGGUGGCUGGCUCUGUAGAGACACAAUCAAAGCCAAGGGUAUGUCCCUCAACUUCUGCUGGCAUUCUUGUGUGGAAGAACAGAGCUGCAAAGAUGAAUAAGAGACAGACCCUGCUCACAAACCAGCCAGAAAGAUGCAGGGUAAAGAAAUAACUCUGGGUCCACGUGCAAAGAGCUCUAAAGAGGGGCAAACCGUCAGGAGCACAGAGAGCACACGGUGAACCAGCCAAGGAGGAAGCGUCAGGGAAGACGACGGCAUCGCAGUGGGGCCUCAGAGGUUGAGUAGGAGGCGACAGGCACAGUCUCAGUGGUGAGAAGAGAGAUGCAUGUCUGAAACAUCCAGAUUGACAACAACGAAGACCCGAAAUACUCUAGCAGCCAGGAUGCUCAGUGUCCAUCUUAUGACACUGAGCUGUGACAUUUUUCCUGUCAAUUUAGCUGGUGUUACCAGACAUUACCAC
RNAcentral lists this long non-coding RNA (1072 nucleotides) under Equus caballus (horse). RNAcentral's name for it is "lncRNA (ENSECAG00000060254.1)". Lineage: Eukaryota; Metazoa; Chordata; Mammalia; Perissodactyla; Equidae. The record is from RNAcentral.